Molecule: transfer RNA, 97 nt
Filed under: Neocucurbitaria cava
Lineage: Eukaryota; Fungi; Ascomycota; Dothideomycetes; Pleosporales; Cucurbitariaceae
Description: Pyrenochaeta cava tRNA
Rfam family: tRNA
About the family: Transfer RNA (tRNA) molecules are approximately 80 nucleotides in length. Their secondary structure includes four short double-helical elements and three loops (D, anti-codon, and T loops).
Source: Rfam by way of RNAcentral
GGGCUUGUGGUUUAGUGGUAUAAUACUCCCUUAGCAUCUCUAGUACACCUAGAACAGUGACUGGGAGUGGUCCAGGGUUCGAUUCCCUGCAAGUCCA